This 225-nucleotide ribosomal RNA is filed under the name uncultured bacterium. Its description in RNAcentral is "partial 16S ribosomal RNA". It matches the Rfam family "Bacterial small subunit ribosomal RNA", at positions 524 to 749 of the family's 1533-position model. The record is from RNAcentral.
UACGAAGGAGGCUAGCGUUGCUCGGAAUCACUGGGCGUAAAGCGCACGUAGGCGGACUCUUAAGUCGGUGGUGAAAUCCUGGAGCUCAACUCCAGAACUGCCUUCGAUACUGGGAGUCUCGAGUCCGGGAGAGGUGAGUGGAACUGCGAGUGUAGAGGUGAAAUUCGUAGAUAUUGGCUGGAACACCGGUGCGAAAGCGGCUCUCUGGCCCGGUUCUGACGCUGA